RNAcentral lists this long non-coding RNA (1013 nucleotides) under Sparus aurata (gilthead seabream). RNAcentral's name for it is "lncRNA (ENSSAUG00010026562.1)". Lineage: Eukaryota; Metazoa; Chordata; Actinopteri; Spariformes; Sparidae. The record is from RNAcentral.
GCAGCCUGUGGGACGCUUCUCACUUACUUUCAGAACAGUUUUCAAACAAGUGCAAGACUCAGAAAGGACUGUUUGGGAUAUUUGACAGAAGAAUCCGCUCCUCUUCCUCCCUGGCACCUCGUGGAAUUGGACACAAACUGGAAUAUAUUUCAGUGAGCCUGGAGAGCCUCGCGUCACUGGAGAGAAGAGAGAGCUCUGGCAGAGGGCCACAGAGUGGAGGCGGAGGAGGGCAGAGGUGUGCUGGAUGGAGGCCACAGCCGGGCCUGAUGGCAGGAGCCCAGAACACACUGAGCUCUAACAACGUCCUCUAGAAGCCACCGAGGGGCUACAGUUCACGUGGAGACACUGUAAAGGUAUGGAUGGAUGGAUGGAUGGAUGGAUGGAUGGAUGGAUGGAUGGAUGGACGCAGUAGCAUACAGACCAAUCAGUCAAAGCUAACAGAAACAAGUUGUUAACAGAGCUGCAACAAUUAGUCAACUGAAAGAAAAUGAGUCGCCAUCUAUUCUGAUAAUCGAUUAAUCAUGUCAGUCGUUUUUCAAGCAGAUUUGUCAAAUAUCUGCUGGUUCCAGCUCCCUCAAGAAUGUGCUGCUUUUCUUUGUCAUCUAUGACAGUAAAUGAAGAGUCUUUGGGUUUUGGACCGUUGGUUGGACAGAAGAAGUAAUCUGAACACAUCGCUUUGAGCUCUGAGAAAUUGCGAUGAGCAUUUUUCACGACUGUUUAACAUUUAUAGACGAUUAAUCGAUUAAGCGUAAAUACAUUCUGCAGGUUAUUGGAUGCUGAAAUGACUCGUUAGUUGAAGCCCUUGAUGUGAUGUUGAUGUUUUUUGGCUCAUAUUCAGACCGUGCUCGCUCACAAGGUAAUGGCCUCCCUUAAAUGAGACUAGUUUAAUCAAGAAGAGACUUAAGCGGUUAAAACGAUUAAGCGUAAAAACAUUCUGCAGGUUAUUGGAUGCUGAAAUGACUCGUUAGUUGAAGACCUUGAUGUGAUGUUGAUGUUUUUUGGCUCAUAUUCAG